This is a long non-coding RNA of Empidonax traillii (willow flycatcher), 1504 nucleotides long. RefSeq lists it as uncharacterized. Lineage: Eukaryota; Metazoa; Chordata; Aves; Passeriformes; Tyrannidae. The transcript is spliced from 5 exons. The record is from RefSeq and is a predicted model, not a curated record.
GCGGCGACGGAAAGUUUCCCCGGGGCGGGGCGAGGCGGGCUCCACUCCCUCUCCGCCGAAACGACCGGCUCCGGGAAAGAAGGGAGGAGGGAGGGAAGGACGGAGGGAGGCGGCCAGCCAGGCUGCCGCUCUAUGGCCGUGCACAUAAACUGCAGCUUCAGUUCCACUGGAGUAAGUUGUAUUGGAGGAGUUUCUGGGAAUGAGUAAGAGAACGUCUGGGCUUCAUGUUCUACAAUGAGAGUAUGAAUAUGUUAAAAGAAGACAAAUGAAAAAUCUACCCUUUCAUGUAAAGUGGAAUAAAAAGCAAGCUUGAGAUGUGUUCCUGUCUUCAUUUUUAGCACACCCAAGUCAAGAGGAAAACUCCAAGGCAAGAAGCAUGCUGACAUUUCAAUAUUCCUUCAGCUCAACAGUUCAGAGUACAGUCACAUCAAGAAAAGCAACACGUGUAAUCAUGAAUAGCUGGAGAUUCAUUUCACUAGAUUUUCCAAGAAUUUAAUUUUAAAUUGAAAGACCAUUGAACUCUCACUGAUCAGGAAUUGAACACUGUAGAGAUCCUUUAAACAACUUCUCACAUUUAGACAGCAUCGGGAGGAGGGGAAUUCACAGUAGAUAUAAAAGAUUUUUUUUCUGUGAAGCAGUUCCUGAAUUGAUAAAGUUAUCCUGAGAUAUGCAUUUAGGGAAUUUUAUCCAUAAAGACAAUUUAGUUAGUCAGUGGGAACAACCAGAAAGAGUGUAGAAAGCACAGAUAAAUGUGUCUGGAAUUCUUUUUCCCCUACUAAUUCCUGGAUACUACUUCCUGUCCUUGGAAAUGAGAAAAACACAUGUAAAUUGGAGCGAGGCUUUUUUUAGGAGAAGAGGAUCAGCUCUUGCCUUCUCUCAUAGUGUAAAACCCCAGGAAAUUCUGCCCAGGUUUUUCUCUGCCCUUCAUGCUUUCCUAAAGCUUUUUGUUCAGCAGCCCCUUGAAGAAUGUGGCACUUCCUUUGAGCUAAUGAAAUUGCAACAAGCAGCUGUAAGAUUUGGACUGAAUGAGCUGUUUCUCUGUGAGGAAAGGCUGCAGUUUCUUUCUGGGCAAAGGCAUAAACACUGUGAAGAAUAAACAGUUUGAGUAGCUGUAGUCUGAGGAAGGCAGAGGUUUGGGGUAGGCUUGAAGAGUUGCAUUGGAGAAGAGUAGGAGAGACAUAAAAUCCUAGAGAAAAUAAGAUGUGAGGGAAGUCUAAAAAUGUUUGAAAAUGAUGCCUUAGGGAAAAUCUGAGUUGCUUCAGUUUUCAGCUGAGUACUGUUGUGUCCAGAUCUCACUCAGAAACCGGCUAGUGCAAAGCUCUGAUUCAAGGUGUGAGUUUGCUGUGAGAAAUUUUCCAUCCGUAUCAGGAUUUUGCCAACAGCAUCUUGUAAAAAUGUUGCUUCAUCAGUCCAGACCUCGCUGGGAGCUGCAGACAUUUGGCAGAUGUUUGAGUUCCACUUCACUGUAUCACAGAAUGGUUGGAAGGUAUCUCUGAAACCAUCU